CAAUAGCGUAUAUUAAAGUUGUUGCAGUUAAAAAGCUCGUAGUUGGAUUUCCGGCGUGAGGGAUCAGUCUGACUUCUAGUCAGUACUUGGUCCUCUCAUGCCGUCCUUGAAUGGUGCAUCCUGGCAUUAAGUUGUCGGGGUGAGAGCCGUUCAUCGUUUACUGUGAGAAAAUUAGAGUGUUCAAAGCAGGCUUAUGCCGUUGAAUAUAUUAGCAUGGAAUAAUAAGAUAGGACUUUGGUACUAUUUUGUUGGUUUGAGAACCAAGGUAAUGAUCAAUAGGGACAGUUGGGGGUAUUCGUAUUCAGUUGUCAGAGGUGAAAUUCUUAGAUUUCCGGAAGACGAACUACUGCGAAAGCAUUUACCAAGGAUGUUUACUCUAAUUACUACGAAACGAAAACGUAAAGUUAGGGGUAGGGUACGUAACGGAAACGGAACGUUAAGUUAAGUAACCGUUACCCGUUCGUAGGAACGUACGUCCGAACCGGAACGGACCAACCAACGGGGAAGGGUAAGGUA
Molecule: ribosomal RNA, 516 nt
Filed under: uncultured eukaryote
Lineage: Eukaryota
Description: bacterial SSU rRNA
Rfam family: Eukaryotic small subunit ribosomal RNA
Source: RNAcentral